This 24-nucleotide non-coding RNA is filed under the name Cricetulus griseus (Chinese hamster). Lineage: Eukaryota; Metazoa; Chordata; Mammalia; Rodentia; Cricetidae. The record is from RNAcentral.
ACCCAGGAACUGUUAUUAAUGAGC